Molecule: ribosomal RNA, 375 nt
Filed under: uncultured organism
Description: partial 16S ribosomal RNA
Rfam family: Bacterial small subunit ribosomal RNA
Source: RNAcentral
GGAGGAGGCAAGCGUUGUCCGGGAAUCAUUGGGGCGUAAAGAGCGCGUAGGCUGUUUUUCAAGUCAUUUGUGAAAACCUCAGGGCUUAACUUGAGGACUGCAUAUGAAACUGGAAAACUUGAGUGCAGUAGGGGAAAGUGGAAUUCCUGGUGUAGCGGUGAAAUGCGCAGAUAUCAGGAAGAACACCGGUAGCGAAGGCGGCUUUCUGGGCUGCUACUGACGCUGAGGCGCGAAAGCUAGGGGAGCAAACAGGAUUAGAUACCCUGGUAGUCCUAGCUGUAAACGAUGGACACUAGGUGUGGGGAGUUAUCGACGCUUUCCGUGCCGGAGCUAACGCAUUAAGUGUCCCGCCUGGGGAGUACGGUCGCAAGACUA